Molecule: ribosomal RNA, 468 nt
Filed under: uncultured bacterium
Lineage: Bacteria
Description: partial 16S ribosomal RNA
Rfam family: Bacterial small subunit ribosomal RNA
Source: RNAcentral
GACGAACGCUGGCGGCGUGCUUCACAAAUGCAAGUCGAACGCAAAGGCCCUGCUUUUGUGGGGUGCUCGAGUGGCGAACGGGUGAGUAACACGUGAGUAACCUGCCCUUGACUUUGGGAUAACUUCAGGAAACUGGGGCUAAUACCGGAUAGGAGCUCCUGCUGCAUGGUGGGGGUUGGAAAGUUUCGGCGGUUGGGGAUGGACUCGCGGCUUAUCAGCUUGUUGGUGGGGUAGUGGCUUACCAAGGCUUUGACGGGUAGCCGGCCUGAGAGGGUGACCGGCCACAUUGGGACUGAGAUACGGCCCAGACUCCUACGGGAGGCAGCAGUGGGGAAUAUUGCACAAUGGGCGGAAGCCUGAUGCAGCAACGCCGCGUGCGGGAUGACGGCCUUCGGGUUGUAAACCGCUUUCGCCUGUGACGAAGCGUGAGUGACGGUAAUGGGUAAAGAAGCACCGGCUAACUACGUG